AUUGAACGCUGGCGGAAUGCCUAACACAUGCAAGUCGAGCGGGGUGUAGCAAUACACCUAGCGGCGGACGGGUGAGGAACACACAGGAAUCUACCUUUUAGUGGGGAGUAGCCGGGAACCCGGAACUUAAUACCGCAUGAUCUCGCAAGAGCAAAGACGGGGGACCGGUAACGGCCUCGCGCUGAAAGAAUGAGCCUAUGUCGGAUUAGCUAGUUGGC
This 218-nucleotide ribosomal RNA is filed under the name uncultured bacterium. Its description in RNAcentral is "partial 16S ribosomal RNA". It matches the Rfam family "Bacterial small subunit ribosomal RNA", at positions 30 to 253 of the family's 1533-position model. The record is from RNAcentral.